Molecule: ribosomal RNA, 497 nt
Filed under: uncultured bacterium
Lineage: Bacteria
Description: partial 16S ribosomal RNA
Rfam family: Bacterial small subunit ribosomal RNA
Source: RNAcentral
GAUGAACGUUGGCGGCGUGCCUAAUACAUGCAAGUCGAGCGAACAGACGAGGAGCUUGCUCCUCUGACGUUAGCGGCGGACGGGUGAGUAACACGUGGAUAACCUACCUAUAAGACUGGGAUAACUUCGGGAAACCGGAGCUAAUACCGGAUAACAUGUUGAACCGCAUGGUUCAACAGUGAAAGACGGUCUUGCUGUCACUUAUAGAUGGAUCCGCGCCGCAUUAGCUAGUUGGUAAGGUAACGGCUUACCAAGGCAACGAUGCGUAGCCGACCUGAGAGGGUGAUCGGCCACACUGGAACUGAGACACGGUCCAGACUCCUACGGGAGGCAGCAGUAGGGAAUCUUCCGCAAUGGGCGAAAGCCUGACGGAGCAACGCCGCGUGAGUGAAGAAGGUCUUCGGAUCGUAAAACUCUGUUAUUAGGGAAGAACAAAUGUGUAAGUAACUAUGCACGUCUUGACGGUACCUAAUCAGAAAGCCACGGCUAACUACGUG